This is a long non-coding RNA of Corticium candelabrum, 1547 nucleotides long. RefSeq lists it as uncharacterized. The transcript has 3 exons. Lineage: Eukaryota; Metazoa; Porifera; Homoscleromorpha; Homosclerophorida; Plakinidae. The record is from RefSeq and is a predicted model, not a curated record.
GGCCGGAGGGCGUACUUCUCGUCCACAUUUCGUAGUCGUCGGGGGCACUGAACCUGGGGUUGUCUCACUUGAACACGGGGGUUGGCGACAUCUUCACCUCCAGCAACGGCAUUUUCUGGCAAUCUUUCUUCAUCUUGAAACGUGGUAUCGACAUCCGCUGGCCAUCUAUUCCAUUGACGUAUAAGAGUAGAAUGACGAUGGAAUUUCAACUGAUGACGAUUCCUUCUGAUUACCGAUCCUCCUGGUAGGACCACCUGGUAUGACCUUCCAUUCAUUUGCCUCUUGACUUGUCCUGGAGUUCGCCAUUGUUUCUGAUCUGCAUUCCAUACAAGAACAUAAUCUCCUGGAAGUAGCUGUGGGAGUGUACGAACGCCUCGAUGUCGGUUGUAAGUUGAUGCUUGAUCUGUUUUGCUUUGAAUGUCUCGAGACACGACGGCAUCUCUGGAUAUAGUCUCAGGCUGGAGAUGGCCUGGAGCAGACGGUAGCGUGUUGCGCAAUCGGCAUCCCAUCAGCAAUUGAGCUGGCGAGAUCCCUGUGCUGCUAUGCGGUGUCGUUCGAUACGCCAGUAAGGCCUGCUGUGGAUCUUCCCGAGUUACCGCAGUUUUCUUCAGAAUAUCUUUAACCGUUUGUACCGUGCGUUCCGCUAGCCCAUUCCCUUGGGGGUACCGUGGAGACGAUGUAGUGUGCCUAAAUCCGUAACGACGGGAGAACUGGCGGAAUUGUUCAUUGGCAAACUACGGCCCGUUAGCGCUGACAACCUCCUGCGGUAUUCCAUUUCUGGAGAAUAUCCCUUUUAGACUUUCAAUAACGGUUGCAGCUUUAAACGGAUAGACGUUGCAGUUCCGGAAAUCGCGAGUAGUAGUCGACCACGACUAAGUAAUUGCAAUUCUCAAUUGAAAACAAGUCCAUUGCGAUUCGCUCCCAUGAACGACCGGGCAAUGUUGACGAUUGGAGAGGUUCCUUGCGCAGCUGGUUUUGGUACUGGGCGCAUGCUUCACAUUUUGAAACUGCUCGUUCUAGUUGACUGUUCAUCCCCGGCCACCAGACAACUUCACGAGCUCGUGUUUUGGUUUUGACGAUGCCCAAGUGACCUUCAUUCGCGAGGUUGAUAACAUGGCUGCGCAAGGAUUUUGGAAUCACUAUUUGAGAACCUCUGUACGGAUGAAUGCAGCAUGCCUAAAAUGGUAUACGACUUUGUUGACAUGAAAAUUGAAGACAUACACAAAGACAGUGUCAAAGAUAUGAUUGGCAUUGUGAAGAGUGUGUCAGAUAUUAUUCAGAUUACAGCGAAGUCAAGCGGACGUCUAGUAAACUAUAACUCAUUGUAUUGUCAGAAUUGUAGGAAUUGAGUAAAUUAUGUGUAGAUAAGUUGUUGAUUGUUACAGUCUGCUUAGCGAGAUUGUAAUGUCUUCAGAGGUGUUUGUGUCUGUGUAUGUGCAUAUCUGUCUGUGUGUCUGUAGCUUCGCUUAGCCAGACCCUUUCCGCCGUGUCAUCUUUCCCGGUGAAAUUACGAAAUUACUAGUGUGUCUGUAACACAAUAUCUAUUG